GGGUUGUGAGGUUAAGCGACUAAGCGUACACGGUGGAUGCCCUGGCAGUCAGAGGCGAUGAAGGACGUGCUAAUCUGCGAUAAGCGCCGGUAAGGUGAUAUGAACCGUUAUAACCGGCGAUUUCCGAAUGGGGAAACCCAGUGCGACUCGUCACACUAUCAUUAACUGAAUCCAUAGGUUAAUGAGGCGAACCGGGGGAACUGAAACAUCUAAGUACCCCGAGGAAAAGAAAUCAACCGAGAUUCCCCCAGUAGCGGCGAGCGAACGGGGAGGAGCCCAGAGCCUGAAUCAGCAUGUGUGUUAGUGGAAGCGUCUGGAAAGGCGCGCGAUACAGGGUGACAGCCCCGUACACAAAAGCGCAUGUGCUGUGAGCUCGAUGAGUAGGGCGGGACACGUGGUAUCCUGUCUGAAUAUGGGGGGACCAUCCUCCAAGGCUAAAUACUCCUGACUGACCGAUAGUGAACCAGUACCGUGAGGGAAAGGCGAAAAGAACCCCGGCGAGGGGAGUGAAAAAGAACCUGAAACCGUGUACGUACAAGCAGUGGGAGCACCCUUCGGGGUGUGACUGCGUACCUUUUGUAUAAUGGGUCAGCGACUUAUAUUCUGUAGCAAGGUUAACCGAAUAGGGGAGCCGGAGGGAAACCGAGUCUUAAUUGGGCGUUAAGUUGCAGGGUAUAGACCCGAAACCCGGUGAUCUAGCCAUGGGCAGGUUGAAGGUUGGGUAACACUAACUGGAGGACCGAACCGACUAAUGUUGAAAAAUUAGCGGAUGACCUGUGGCUGGGGGUGAAAGGCCAAUCAAACCGGGAGAUAGCUGGUUCUCCCCGAAAGCUAUUUAGGUAGCGCCUCGUGAAUUCAUCUCCGGGGGUAGAGCACUGUUUCGGCUAGGGGGCCAUCCCGGCUUACCAACCCGAUGCAAACUGCGAAUACCGGAGAAUGUUAUCACGGGAGACACACGGCGGGUGCUAACGUCCGUCGUGAAGAGGGAAACAACCCAGACCGCCAGCUAAGGUCCCAAAGUCAUGGUUAAGUGGGAAACGAUGUGGGAAGGCCCAGACAGCCAGGAUGUUGGCUUAGAAGCAGCCAUCAUUUAAAGAAAGCGUAAUAGCUCACUGGUCGAGUCGGCCUGCGCGGAAGAUGUAACGGGGCUAAACCAUGCACCGAAGCUGCGGCAGCGACACUGUGUGUUGUUGGGUAGGGGAGCGUUCUGUAAGCCUGCGAAGGUGGCCUGUGAGGGUUGCUGGAGGUAUCAGAAGUGCGAAUGCUGACAUAAGUAACGAUAAAGCGGGUGAAAAGCCCGCUCGCCGGAAGACCAAGGGUUCCUGUCCAACGUUAAUCGGGGCAGGGUGAGUCGACCCCUAAGGCGAGGCCGAAAGGCGUAGUCGAUGGGAAACGGGUUAAUAUUCCCGUACUUGGUGUUACUGCGAAGGGGGGACGGAGAAGGCUAUGUUGGCCGGGCGACGGUUGUCCCGGUUUAAGCGUGUAGGUGUGUGUUCCAGGUAAAUCCGGUUCACUUUAACACUGAGGCGUGACGACGAGGCACUACGGUGCUGAAGCAACAAAUGCCCUGCUUCCAGGAAAAGCCUCUAAGCAUCAGGUAACAUCAAAUCGUACCCCAAACCGACACAGGUGGUCAGGUAGAGAAUACCAAGGCGCUUGAGAGAACUCGGGUGAAGGAACUAGGCAAAAUGGUGCCGUAACUUCGGGAGAAGGCACGCUGAUAUGUAGGUGAAGUGAUUUACUCAUGGAGCUGAAGUCAGUCGAAGAUACCAGCUGGCUGCAACUGUUUAUUAAAAACACAGCACUGUGCAAACACGAAAGUGGACGUAUACGGUGUGACGCCUGCCCGGUGCCGGAAGGUUAAUUGAUGGGGUCAGCGCAAGCGAAGCUCCUGAUCGAAGCCCCGGUAAACGGCGGCCGUAACUAUAACGGUCCUAAGGUAGCGAAAUUCCUUGUCGGGUAAGUUCCGACCUGCACGAAUGGCGUAAUGAUGGCCAGGCUGUCUCCACCCGAGACUCAGUGAAAUUGAACUCGCUGUGAAGAUGCAGUGUACCCGCGGCAAGACGGAAAGACCCCGUGAACCUUUACUAUAGCUUGACACUGAACAUUGAGCCUUGAUGUGUAGGAUAGGUGGGAGGCUUUGAAGUGUGGACGCCAGUCUGCAUGGAGCCGACCUUGAAAUACCACCCUUUAAUGUUUGAUGUUCUAACGUGGACCCGUAAUCCGGGUUGCGGACAGUGUCUGGUGGGUAGUUUGACUGGGGCGGUCUCCUCCUAAAGAGUAACGGAGGAGCACGAAGGUUGGCUAAUCCUGGUCGGACAUCAGGAGGUUAGUGCAAUGGCAUAAGCCAGCUUGACUGCGAGCGUGACGGCGCGAGCAGGUGCGAAAGCAGGUCAUAGUGAUCCGGUGGUUCUGAAUGGAAGGGCCAUCGCUCAACGGAUAAAAGGUACUCCGGGGAUAACAGGCUGAUACCGCCCAAGAGUUCAUAUCGACGGCGGUGUUUGGCACCUCGAUGUCGGCUCAUCACAUCCUGGGGCUGAAGUAGGUCCCAAGGGUAUGGCUGUUCGCCAUUUAAAGUGGUACGCGAGCUGGGUUUAGAACGUCGUGAGACAGUUCGGUCCCUAUCUGCCGUGGGCGCUGGAGAACUGAGGGGGGCUGCUCCUAGUACGAGAGGACCGGAGUGGACGCAUCACUGGUGUUCGGGUUGUCAUGCCAAUGGCACUGCCCGGUAGCUAAAUGCGGAAGAGAUAAGUGCUGAAAGCAUCUAAGCACGAAACUUGCCCCGAGAUGAGUUCUCCCUGAGACUUAGAGUCUCCUGAAGGAACGUUGAAGACGACGACGUUGAUAGGCCGGGUGUGUAAGCGCAGCGAUGCGUUGAGCUAACCGGUACUAAUGAACCGUGAGGCUUAACCUUACAACGCCGAAG
Molecule: ribosomal RNA, 2926 nt
Filed under: Salmonella enterica subsp. enterica
Lineage: Bacteria; Pseudomonadati; Pseudomonadota; Gammaproteobacteria; Enterobacterales; Enterobacteriaceae
Also listed under: 1 other name
Description: 23S ribosomal RNA
Rfam family: Bacterial large subunit ribosomal RNA
Source: RNAcentral